Molecule: ribosomal RNA, 119 nt
Filed under: Amphilophus citrinellus (Midas cichlid)
Lineage: Eukaryota; Metazoa; Chordata; Actinopteri; Cichliformes; Cichlidae
Source: RNAcentral
GCUUAUGGCCAUACCACCCUGAACCCGCUUGAUCUCGUCUGAUCUCGGAAGCUACGCAGGGUCGGGCCUGGUUAGUACUUGUAUGGGAGACCACCUGGGAAUACCAGGUGCUGUAAGCU